GGGUUUACUAUUUUAUAUUAUAGUUUGAUGGGAUUCAAGUCAAGAUGGAGAUUUAUUAAGUGUGGUAAAUUUUGGUGUGACCCGAUUUAUGAUCUGAUUUGACUAACUUAGGGAGGCGAUCUAAGCAAUUUUUUUGUGAAGUUUGUAGUCGCAGCGGAGAGCUUGGGUGGCCUAAGCCUGGAGUACACCACUAACCUCUUGCAGGGGUGUGGAGACGUAACCCCGGCAAUAUCGAUCCGAUCCAUUUUUAAACUUUAAUUGGCCCGUUUGGUCAUUUUUAUCUUUUUUUAUUAUUUUAGAAUUUGACAUUUAUAUAUUGUAAUCAUGUCUUUUGUUAUUUAAGCUACUACACACUAUAGAGAUUAUUGCUCAUCCUCUU
This 379-nucleotide long non-coding RNA is filed under the name Elaeis guineensis (African oil palm). RNAcentral describes it as "long non-coding RNA (EGUI_LNC030255)". Lineage: Eukaryota; Viridiplantae; Streptophyta; Magnoliopsida; Arecales; Arecaceae. The record is from RNAcentral.